UACGUAGGGUGCAAGCGUUGUCCGGAAUUAUUGGGCGUAAAGAGCUCGUAGGCGGUUUGUCACGUCUGCUGUGAAAUUUCGAGGCUCAACCUCGAACUUGCAGUGGGUACGGGCAGACUAGAGUGCGGUAGGGGAGAUGGGAAUUCCUGGUGUAGCGGUGGAAUGCGCAGAUAUCAGGAGGAACACCAAUGGCGAAGGCACAUCUCUGGGCCGUAACUGACGCUGAGGAGCGAAAGCGUGGGGAGCAAACAGG
Molecule: ribosomal RNA, 253 nt
Filed under: uncultured bacterium
Lineage: Bacteria
Description: partial 16S ribosomal RNA
Rfam family: Bacterial small subunit ribosomal RNA
Source: RNAcentral